CAGCCGCCGCGGUAAUACCAGCUCUCCGAGUGGUGGGGAUGUUUAUUGGGCCUAAAGCAUUCGUAGCCUGCUUGGCAAGUCYUCCGUUAAAUCCAACGAUUCAAUCGUUGGGCUGCGGGGGAUACUGUCCAGCUAGGGGGCGGGAGAGGCCGACGGUAUCCCCGGGGUAGGGGUGAAAUCCUAUAAUCCCGGGAGGACCACCAGUGGCGAAGGCUGUCGGCUAGAACGCGCUCGACGGUGAGGGAUGAAAGCUGGGGGAGCGAACCGGAUUAGAUACCCGGGUAGUCCCAGCUGUAAACGAUGCAGGCUAGGUGUUGGCGCGGCUACGUGCCGCUCCAGUGCCGCAGGGAAGCCGUUAAGCCUGCCGCCUGGGAAGUACGGCCGCAAGGCUGAAACUUAAAGGAAUUGGCGGGGGAGCAC
RNAcentral lists this ribosomal RNA (420 nucleotides) under uncultured archaeon. RNAcentral's name for it is "bacterial SSU rRNA". It matches the Rfam family "Archaeal small subunit ribosomal RNA", at positions 459 to 879 of the family's 1478-position model. The record is from RNAcentral.